CUACGGGGGGCUCCAGUGGGGAAUAUUGCACAAUGGGCGCAAGCCUGAUGCAGCCAUGCCGCGUGUAUGAAGAAGGCCUUCGGGUUGUAAAGUACUUUCAGCGGGGAGGAAGGGAGUAAAGUUAAUACCUUUGCUCAUUGACGUUACCCGCAGAAGAAGCACCGGCUAACUCCGUGCCAGCAGCCGCGGUAAUACGGAGGGUGCAAGCGUUAAUCGGAAUUACUGGGCGUAAAGCGCACGCAGGCGGUUUGUUAAGUCAGAUGUGAAAUCCCCGGGCUCAACCUGGGAACUGCAUCUGAUGCUGGCAAGCUUGUGUCUCGUAGAGGGGGGUAGAAUUCCAGGUGUAGCGGUGAAAUGCGUAGAGAUCUGGAGGAAUACCGGUGGCGAAGGCGGCCCCCUGGACGAAGACUGACGCUCAGGUGCGAAAGCGUGGGGAGCAAACAGGAUUAGAUACCCCCGUAGUC
This 464-nucleotide ribosomal RNA is filed under the name uncultured bacterium. RNAcentral's name for it is "partial 16S ribosomal RNA". It matches the Rfam family "Bacterial small subunit ribosomal RNA", at positions 339 to 795 of the family's 1533-position model. The record is from RNAcentral.